This 1147-nucleotide long non-coding RNA is filed under the name Betta splendens (Siamese fighting fish). Its description in RNAcentral is "lncRNA (ENSBSLG00000007746.1)". The record is from RNAcentral. Lineage: Eukaryota; Metazoa; Chordata; Actinopteri; Anabantiformes; Osphronemidae.
AGAGCAGGCUACGGUGUGAAUAAGUGGAGACAGUCAGUUGCGUGAGCCAAUCAGAUCUCGAGUCUUUGACACCUAUGCCAGUUAAGAGUCCUCACGCUGCAACGGACAUGUAAGCAUCCUGUGAUUGGAUGAGAUCACGCGAGAGCUUGAAAGACGGCAAUGGCUAAACUAAACCAGAAAACUUAAAAAGAAAAACACAAAACCGGGAAACCUGUUAGCUACUAACACUUAUGGCUUUAUUUGUAAACCACGAGGUCUGAACCAGGAGGCGCUGUGUUUAAGACGGAGCCUUCGUGGAGACCUGGUUCUUUCAAGAAGAGCCUCUCAAUGACAGUUUCUCUGCAUACCAUUAACAACAAGGUGAAUCAAUUCCAAGGAAGAUACCCUUCACCAUUUACUAAAAUCUCUGGGACAUGUUUGGAGUUCAGCGGCUGACAUCUGAAAGCGCAGACUCUAAGGAACGUACAUAUGAACUCUUCCUGGACUAUGCUUCCCAUCAUGCCCUGCACCCAGAAUCCCUAAACUUUUAUGAUACUUGAUCCUUGUUUCUGACUUUUAAGUUGAGUAUAUUCACUGUUUGAUUUUUCCUUUGCCUUGGGAUUUUAUUGUAUUUUAUUUGUAUUAUUCUUUUUGUAUUAUUCUAUUUAUUUGCUGUCUCAAAUGUGGAACUUCUGUUUAUUUAGCAGUUUUACUUAGUUUUAGUGAUUUCUAGGUAAUAAUUGUCAGUGUUUGUCAAGUGUUUCCCGGUGUUUUCCUUUGUUUGGAAUUAAACAAGCUGUAGUUACCUAAUAUGUUGUUUAAGCACUGCUGUUGGUUCCAGUCUUUAAAUUUUAGAAACUGACAACAAGAAGCUUCUCUCAAGGACACCAGAGUGGUGCUGCCAGUCACAUGCUGUUUGCUAUUCUUUACUGUAUGCUGCGAAUGCUCCAUUUUACAGUGUUAUAAAUUCAAGAUAUGCACUAAACAAUUUUUUUAAUGGAUGUACAGUACUUAUGAAAUGACUAUUUCACACCAAAAAUGUUAAUGUGCUACUAAAACUCUAAUACUGCUCUUGUACAGUCAGCUUUGCAUGUACUAGUGGCACUUUGGCACUUCACAUUGACUUUUUGCACAUUAAUAAAUGCAUUUUUAAUGAAGAUGGUGUUCA